UCCUUCUCGGAUUAAAUGGCAAUAGUGUGG
RNAcentral lists this non-coding RNA (30 nucleotides) under Rattus norvegicus (Norway rat). Lineage: Eukaryota; Metazoa; Chordata; Mammalia; Rodentia; Muridae. The record is from RNAcentral.